AAAAAAAAAAGAAUCUAGUGGUAGUAGACUAGUAACAACUAACAAUAAUAAAAAUAAAUAUAAGAUCCUAAUUUUGCAUCAAACUCCCAGGUUUGAAUUAGGAUACUUUAGCCAAGUAUUUAACUACUUAUUCAUAUUUUUCUUUACAGUAAGUGGGUUGGUGUUGCAGGAAAACAGUGGGCAGCUCAUUUUUAAGCUAUAACCAACAUAAAAAUUGUUUACCCAAAUUUUACAUUUUUUAAAUUUCAUCUUAUCUAAUUUUAUAUUUUUAUGUGCACCAGCUAAAAGGCCUAGUGCAUCCAUCCAAAGCUGUCUCACCAAUGUACGUGUGCAUAAAACACAUUGCUGGAUUUCAAUUGCACGAGUACAUUGCAGAGAAAGCUUUAGACUACAACUCACUUAUGUUGCACCCAUGAAAAAAUUAGUAUAGAGAGGUGAUGAUCAUAUGUUUACCUGCAAAUCCAAAAUGUUGUAAG
RNAcentral lists this unclassified non-coding RNA (476 nucleotides) under Hevea brasiliensis (rubber tree). The record is from RNAcentral. Lineage: Eukaryota; Viridiplantae; Streptophyta; Magnoliopsida; Malpighiales; Euphorbiaceae.